Molecule: ribosomal RNA, 253 nt
Filed under: uncultured bacterium
Lineage: Bacteria
Description: partial 16S ribosomal RNA
Rfam family: Bacterial small subunit ribosomal RNA
Source: RNAcentral
UACGGGGGGGGCAAGCGUUGUUCGGAAUUACUGGGCGUAAAGGGCUCGUAGGCGGCCAACUAAGUCAGACGUGAAAUCCCCAGGCUCAACCUGGGAACUGCGUCUGAUACUGAUUGGCUUGAAUCCGGGAGAGGGAUGCAGAAUUCCAGGUGUAGCAGUGAAAUGCGUAGAUAUCGAGAGGAACACCAGUGGCGAAGGCGAGUCCCUGGACAACUCCUGACGCUGAGGCACGAAAGCUAGGGGAGCAAACAGG